GUACAGUCAUUUUGCAUUGGAAAAUGCUAUGUGAUGGUAGCAUAAUAUGUUACUUUAUUUGCAUCUCUCCUCAUUAACUACAUGCCAUAUUAUUAUUUUUGUUUAUGUGGCUUGUUUGUUGCUCCUAUUUAUGUUACUUCCACUAUGACCAGCCUAAGAUUUGCCAACAUUUCACAGUAUUAGUUGUACUAGGGGUCCAGGUGCAGAAAUGUUGGAGCCGCAAAACUUUACCGAUUAACCAUGCAUCAAAAGAAAAUUCAGAAAGGAUCGAAGAAAAAGAGAGAUGAUGGGGUCAGAAAUACCCUGACAUGAUAUUUCUGUCUUCUGCUUAUAUUCAAAGAAAAGAAAUCAAACCAUCUCCGAUGUUUCCUCUCAGUUCACCCUUCCAUUCCAUGCCCGCAAACUGGAUGUGUGCCUUGCUCUGGCAUUUGUUGUUUGCCUAUUGAUUUUGCUAGUGAACAUUUGUCAAAUGAUUAACUAUUCCUCCGUUCUUAAAUAUAAGUCUUUUUAAAGAUUCCAUUAUGGUUACAUACGCGUGUAUACAGACAUAUUUGAGAGUGUAUAUUCAUUCAUUUUGCUUCGUAUGUAGUCUUUAGCGCAAUCUUUAAAAGGUCUUAUAUUUAGAAAUGGACGGAGUAGAUUUAGACUUACUUGUUCUAGUUUAUGUUUCACUUAUAUUAUAUCAAUAUAAAGAGAUGUGCUAAUUCGCAUAAUUAUAUUUGUUUCACCUAAUUCAUGGUUCCAGAAAAAGUCUUCACUGAGUAAAAGUGUGCUCACCAUGCGUGUAUGCUGUUUUUAUGAAAAAAUGAGGAUAAACAUCAUAGAUUAAAAAAAUUCACAAAUUACCCUCAAGUGGUCCAUAGACCAAUAACCCUACUUAACCAGCCCAAUAAUCUCUCUCUCUCUCUCUCUCUCUCAUCUUUUCAUAAAACACUAAAAUCAACUUAGUCUUGUUAAAAAUUAUAUAUAUUUUAUAUGAACUAGUCCCUUCAUUCCAAAAUAAGUGCCAUAGUUUUAGUUUAAUGUUUUGAAAUGGAGGGAGUAGCAAAAAAUAUGGAAAUAUUAUAGGAUUUUCAUCUAUCUAUUCACGCCAGUUUCAUGCAUAUUAGUAGUAGGAUUUAAUCCACUGUUAACAAAUAAAUUUGAAUUUUGGAUUCCAAAUAGAUUUAUUUUUCUAGAUAGAACCUAAAAAUGUAAAGAAUUGUUUAUUUAUGAGUUUAUUUUAUAUUUAGAAGCCUUUUUUGAUAUACAGGUAGUUCAAAUUGGAGUUAUAUCCAACAAUAGCUAGAAACGCAUUUUGUUUGCGAUCAUUGAAUAACUGAAAAUAGUUGGAAACUCAUUUGAUACCUAAAUAAUACAAAAUAAAUUAAACUAUCCUAAUUUUGACGUGAACAAUAUAUUUUAGUAUGUUCUCUGUAUACAAAAAGUAGAACAUUCUAGAUAAAUACUUCCGAUGGUACUACACGAG
RNAcentral lists this long non-coding RNA (1468 nucleotides) under Hordeum vulgare. Its description in RNAcentral is "long non-coding RNA (HVUL_LNC011447)". The record is from RNAcentral. Lineage: Eukaryota; Viridiplantae; Streptophyta; Magnoliopsida; Poales; Poaceae.